RNAcentral lists this long non-coding RNA (1573 nucleotides) under Homo sapiens (human). Its description in RNAcentral is "non-protein coding lnc-ZSCAN10-6:1". The record is from RNAcentral. Lineage: Eukaryota; Metazoa; Chordata; Mammalia; Primates; Hominidae.
CUUUUCGCGGCGCCCCACCUGUCCAGCCCGGGGCGCGGGGGCAAUCGCCGUGAGGAGCAGGCGGGGCGAGGGCACCCCACCCUCGAGUCGGCUUUCGCCCGUGGGGAAACUGAGGCUGCCUGGUCGAAGGCCUCCACGGGGAAGCGCCGAGGCCUCCUCCAUGCCUGGGACCUGGGGGUCUUAAUGAAGGGAGAGUCCACCCUCCCGGGCGAGGAUCCCGAUCCAUGAGGCGCCAACCCCCGCCCGGGCGCCCGGGUCCAGCCUCCCCGGCCGAGGGUCGGCCUCACACUCCCCUGCUUUGGGUGUUUGGUUUUGUUUAAAAAAUGGGACUAUACUAUAUGGUCUACCUGGGUCUUGCCCCCUCUGUGUGGGUGACAUAUAUCUUAGAGAUUGUUCAAAAUAAAAAACAUAGAGAAAAGGAGAAAAAUAGAAAAAAAAUGCAUCGUUGCCUUGCUCUUUUUUUUUUUUUUUAAACUAGGUAGCAUUCUCUUGUAUGAGUCUGUUACAAUUUCCUUAACCAGGCUUCUGCUCACCACCCACGUCUUGACACCCUUGCCUUGCAGUAACAGGAACCACCCCAACAGCUACUACCAUGGAGCCUUGGUGGCUUUCUAGUGAAUGAACAGACAUCUGAGCUUGCAAAUAGGGCGGGAAGAGAGGCUAUCCUCACGCUCCCGCAGGAGUGUCCUCAGCCCCAGGCUUCUGGCCUAAACCUGGCUCACAAAUCUCAGCCUGGGCAGCCUGCCUCUCACAGUUGGGAAAAACAGCCUAUUCCCGUCUUGAACAAACCCCGGGAGGACAGGAAGAGCAUCCCUAGGCAACAACACCAGGUGCUUCUUUUGUUUUGUUUUCUUUUGUUUUCCAGACAGAGUCUUGGUCUGUCGCCCAGGCUGGAGUGUAGUGCCCAAUCUCAGCUCACUGCAGCCUCCGCCUCCCAGGUUCAAGCGAUUCUCCUGCCUCAGCCUCUCGAGUAGCUGGGACUGCAGGCACGCGCCACCACACCCGGAUAAUUUUUGUAUUUUUAGAAGAGAUGUGAUUUCACCAUGUUGGCCAGGAUGGUCUCGAUCUCCUGACCUCGUGAUCUGGCCACCUUGGCCUCCCAAAAUGCUGGGAUUACAAGCGUGAGCCACCACGUCCGGCCUGUUUGUUUGUUUUGAGACAGGCUGAAGUGCAGUGGCAUGAUCACAGCUCAUGGCAGCCUUGACUUCCCAGGCUCAGGUGAUCCUUCUGCCUAAGCCCACCAGUAGCUGGGACUACAGGCAAAUGCCAACAUGCCCGCUAAUUUUUGUAUUAGUAGAGAUGGGUAUUUGUUUGUUUGUUUGUUUUGAGACAGAGUCUCACUCUGUCGCCCAGGCUGGAGAGCAGUGGUGCGAGCUUGGCCUACUGCAACCUCUGCCUCCUGGUUUCAAGUGAUUCUCGAGCCUUGGCCUCCCCAGUAGCUGGAACUACAGGUGCAUGCCUGUAGUUACAGGCGUGAGCCACCACCCCUGGCCUCUCCAUUCUUUCCCACGAAUCCCUAUCACAUUCUUCUCACUCUAUUGGGUGUCAAAAAUGUAGAACUUCCAUGCUUCCA